GACAGAGGUGCCAAGCGUUAGGCGGAAUCACUGGGCUUAAAGCGUGUGUAGGUGGAUUUGUAAGUACCUUGUGAAAUCCCAUGGCUCAACCAUGGAACUGCUCGGUAUACUGCGAAUCUUGAGCCACUUAGGGGCUACCGGAACAAAUGGUGGAGCGGUGAAAUGCGUAGAUAUCAUUUGAAACGCCAAUGGUGAAAACAGGUAGCUGGGAGUGUGCUGACACUGAGACACGAAAGCCAGGGGAGCGAACGGG
Molecule: ribosomal RNA, 253 nt
Filed under: uncultured bacterium
Lineage: Bacteria
Description: partial 16S ribosomal RNA
Rfam family: Bacterial small subunit ribosomal RNA
Source: RNAcentral